GCGGGAGUAGUUCAGCGGUAGAACACCACCUUGCCAAGGUGGGGGUCGCGGGUUCGAAUCCCGUCUCCCGCUCCA
This 75-nucleotide transfer RNA is filed under the name Salimicrobium halophilum. RNAcentral's name for it is "tRNA_Gly_GCC". It matches the Rfam family "tRNA". From Rfam's summary of the family: Transfer RNA (tRNA) molecules are approximately 80 nucleotides in length. Their secondary structure includes four short double-helical elements and three loops (D, anti-codon, and T loops). Lineage: Bacteria; Bacillati; Bacillota; Bacilli; Caryophanales; Bacillaceae. RNAcentral also lists the same sequence under 6 other names. The record is from RNAcentral.